AGAGUUUGAUCAUGGCUCAGAACGAACGCUGGCGGCAUGCCUAACACAUGCAAGUCGAACGAGACCUUCGGGUCUAGUGGCGCACGGGUGCGUAACGCGUGGGAAUCUGCCCUUGGGUUCGGAAUAACAGCGAGAAAUUGCUGCUAAUACCGGAUGAUGUCGUAAGUCCAAAGAUUUAUCGCCCAAGGAUGAGCCCGCGUAGGAUUAGCUAGUUGGUGAGGUAAAGGCUCACCAAGGCGACGAUCCUUAGCUGGUCUGAGAGGAUGAUCAGCCACACUGGGACUGAGACACGGCCCAGACUCCUACGGGAGGCAGCAGUGGGGAAUAUUGGACAAUGGGCGAAAGCCUGAUCCAGCAAUGCCGCGUGAGUGAUGAAGGCCUUAGGGUUGUAAAGCUCUUUUACCCGGGAUGAUAAUGACAGUACCGGGAGAAUAAGCUCCGGCUAACUCCGUG
This 453-nucleotide ribosomal RNA is filed under the name uncultured bacterium. RNAcentral describes it as "bacterial SSU rRNA". It matches the Rfam family "Bacterial small subunit ribosomal RNA", at positions 8 to 507 of the family's 1533-position model. The record is from RNAcentral.